Long non-coding RNA from Aquila chrysaetos chrysaetos, 2098 nucleotides. RefSeq lists it as uncharacterized. The transcript is spliced from 2 exons. The record is from RefSeq and is a predicted model, not a curated record. Lineage: Eukaryota; Metazoa; Chordata; Aves; Accipitriformes; Accipitridae.
GGCCGCCGGGGGCUGCCCCGGGCGGGUCCCUCGGCGGCGGCUGUCGCCCGGGCUCCCCGCCUCACCCCGACUGUUACGCGGCGCAGGCACCGGCGGCAGCGCGCUCCCCCCAUCUCAGCCCCGAGGACGCUCCGGCGGCAGCCCGAGGGUCCGAGGGGACGGUAGGCAGCCUCGGCCCCGGCGCCACAGGGCCACCUGCUUGGCCCCCCGCUGCCGGGACGAGCCGCGGCCUCCGUACGCCCGAAGGCUCGCACGCCCCGUACCUGCCCUACUCGGAUGAAGGAGCGCUUGCACACGUACGUAAUGCGCGCCCCGGGGCCGCUGGUGCCUUGUCGUCACGGCCGGAGCAGGUAGCUGGCGCUCGGGGUGGAAGAUUUCUGGACCGCACCAUCCUCCCUUUGCUCUGUGAACCCAGCUUCGGUGUGGCCAAAUCACCAACUAGUUCGGGAAGAUUUCUUUGUUUCUGCCAUCUCCCUUUUCCUGAGGGGAAAAAUGGCAGCCUGCCCCCACCAGCUGAACGCACCGAAGGGUCAGGUCAAUGCUACAGCAGCAGAGACACGGGGGACAACAGCUGCUCCUGGCAGGUAGAUGAGACUGGUUCUUCCCUCCCGUUACUGUUCCUGCUCCUUGAAACCUAGCGCAUGGACAGCCCCCCCCCCCCCCCCCUCCUUUCCCCCCUUGCAGUACAGAGGGAAAGAGCUCCCCGUUCCUGAGCCAGAGGAGUAAGACACCUUGCAGCUCAUUGCUGCUUAGCAGCCCAGCUCAGCAUCGUGUGUCCUUUCAGGGGUAAAAGCCUUCCCUCACCCUACUUGGUGUUGAAACACGGAUGAGAAGAGACUGCUACAGCACCGCCUGUGCACAAAGGAGGAUUAUUAAGACAGAAAUUACCCAUGGAAAAAGAAGAAGGUUAAGAAGAGGUUAAGUUAAAAGAAAGUCAAGGACUCAGAAUUGAAGAAGUGCCCGAUUUAAGGCUAUGGAAAGGCAAACCUGUGGCUGGAUGUGCGUCAGAGCUAGCAUGAGAGCACGCUGCAAACAAAUGAGGAUACUCGGAGCUGCUGUGCAAUGUCAGUGCCAGUGCCAGCUGCUGUUGCAGGCUGGGAGAAGGGAGAGACAGGGGCUACUGGUGUUUGCAGAAGAAAACUGCUGAAAGUGCAAGAAAGUCACUCCCAUCACUCUGAAACCUAAUUUAUUCUGUCCUGCCAGAGAGUCAUACAGAGAACAAGUUCAAGAGGAUUUCAAAUCCUACCUAAAGUAUAUCUAAACUGGAAUGUUUAAUUACACUUUCUUGGACUUGUAAAGACAAUCACAACAGCUCUAGGUGAGAAGUAAAUUAGUUCAACAAUGGCUGGUUAAUAGUCACUAACAAAGUGAGGCUUUCUAAUACCAUCUGAGAUGAAGUUGUGGUGGCGAUGUGUUCCUCAAGUGCCUUUCAAAUAUCCUCUGUCCACAAAGAUCAGUGAAGUGUUUCACUCUCAGAAACACAGUCCUAAAAACAAGGGAGCAAAAUGAUGGGUGACCAGGAUAAAGUGACAAGCUUGGUGAUGGCAGCAGUUACCUGACUCUAUAGAACAAGAAACCCCAGGUAAAAACACAUCCUGUAUUUUCUUACAUAGGGAAACAGUAAAAUUGAGUAAGCUCAAGCUGUUCUCAAAAGCACAUGGUGAGAAUUAGAGGGAGAAAAAAGAACACUCUCUUCCCUGCAACAUGUCCUAUUCCUUUCAGUUACAGCAUGUUUAGGUAUUACUGGAAAGACACACAGUACUAAAUAUCAACAUCACAAAUGUGGUUUCCAAGUUGAGAAGGUCAUUUAAAUAAACCAUAUAACAUGUUUCUCACAAACACAAAACUUCCUUUGGACAACAUUGAAGAUGUCCUCAUUGUUUAAGGGAAGCUCUGCACAUAUACUCAAGGAUCAGGAGAGAGACCCCAAGAAAACACAUUUUACAUUGUGUUAUGUGUGUGUUACAUAGUAGGUAAUUCAUGGCCUAUGUCAAAAAAAGCGCCACACUUUCAUGUAGUCCUACUAAAGUGUAGUGCUAGUAAAGGAACAAUGCAUUUUUUUUUAUUACAGUUCAUUUUAAAUAAAAAUUACAAUCAA